UGGGGAAUUUUGGACAAUGGGCGAAAGCCUGAUCCAGCAAUGCCGCGUGUGUGAAGAAGGCCUUCGGGUUGUAAAGCACUUUUGUCCGGAAAGAAAUCCUUGGCUCUAAUACAGUCGGGGGAUGACGGUACCGGAAGAAUAAGCACCGGCUAACUACGUGCCAGCAGCCGCGGUAAUACGUAGGGUGCAAGCGUUAAUCGGAAUUACUGGGCGUAAAGCGUGCGCAGGCGGUUUGCUAAGACCGAUGUGAAAUCCCCGGGCUCAACCUGGGAACUGCAUUGGUGACUGGCAGGCUAGAGUAUGGCAGAGGGGGGUAGAAUUCCGCGUGUAGCAGUGAAAAUGCGUAGAGAUGUGGAGGAAUACCGAUGGCGAAGGANCCCCCUGGGCCAAUACUGACGCUCAUGCACGAAAGCGUGGGGAGCAAACAGGAUUAGAUACCCUGGUAGUCCGCGCCCUAAACGAUGUCAACUAGUUGUUGGGGAUUCAUUUCCUUAGUAACGUAGCUAACGCGUGAAGUUGACCGCCUGGGGAGUACGGUCGCAAGAUUAAAAACUUAAAUGAAUUGACGGGGUCAUAGCUGUUUCCU
This 586-nucleotide ribosomal RNA is filed under the name uncultured bacterium. RNAcentral describes it as "partial 16S ribosomal RNA". It matches the Rfam family "Bacterial small subunit ribosomal RNA", at positions 355 to 1375 of the family's 1533-position model. The record is from RNAcentral.